This 245-nucleotide unclassified non-coding RNA is filed under the name Melitaea cinxia (Glanville fritillary). RNAcentral's name for it is "misc RNA ENSMCXG00005019996.1". The record is from RNAcentral. Lineage: Eukaryota; Metazoa; Arthropoda; Insecta; Lepidoptera; Nymphalidae.
GGCAGUGCCGUGGCGCGACAGAUGCAAAAUGGCCGUGUUUUCUUCGCACGAAGACGAAAUUUUAAUAGAAUUAGUUAGUAAAAACGCACCUUUAUUCGAUACGAGGCUUCAAGCUUAUAAAGAUAAUACUGUGAGAGACAAUAUUUGGGAAGAAAUUGGAAAAGCGUUGAAUAAAACAAUUAAAACGCGUCGUGAUGGAAUACAACCGUUUAGUUUAGUAACUGCAAGCAUACUGAGUUUCGUAU